UACAGAGGGUGCGAGCGUUGUUCGGAAUUAUUGGGCGUAAAGGGCGCGUAGGCGGCGCCACAAGUCACCUGUGAAAACUCUGGGCUCAACCCAGAGCCUGCAGGCGAAACUGUGGUGCUGGAGUAUGGGAGAGGUGCGUGGAAUUCCUGGUGUAGCGGUGAAAUGCGCAGAUAUCAGGAGGAACACCGGUGGCGAAGGCGGGUCUCUGGGCCGAUACUGACGCUGAGGAGCGAAAGCGUGGGGAGCGAACAGG
RNAcentral lists this ribosomal RNA (253 nucleotides) under uncultured bacterium. Its description in RNAcentral is "partial 16S ribosomal RNA". It matches the Rfam family "Bacterial small subunit ribosomal RNA", at positions 524 to 776 of the family's 1533-position model. The record is from RNAcentral.